Molecule: ribosomal RNA, 864 nt
Filed under: uncultured crenarchaeote
Lineage: Archaea; Thermoproteati; Thermoproteota
Description: bacterial SSU rRNA
Rfam family: Archaeal small subunit ribosomal RNA
Source: RNAcentral
ACCCCACUGCUAUCGGGAUAGGACUAAGACAUGCUAGUCGUGUGCUUCAGCCAAAACGAAGUACGGCAUACAGCUCAGUAACACGUGGCUAACCUGCCCUUGGGACGAGAACAACCCCGGGAAACUGGGGCUAAUUCUCGAUAGGCGAAAAUCUCUGGAAUGAGUUUUCACCCAAAAAGUUUGAGGUUAUGCUCUUCAAACCGCCCAAGGAUGGGGCCGCGACCGAUCAGGUUGUUGGUGAGGUAAUGGCUCACCAAGCCUUUUACCGGUGCGGGCCGUGGGAGCGGGAGCCCGGAGAUGGGCACUGAGACAAGGGCCCAGGCCCUACGGGGCGCAGCAGUCGCGAAAACUUUGCAAUAAGCGAAAGCUUGACAGGGCUAUCCCGAGUGCCAUCCGCUGAGGAAGGCUUUUACCCAGUCUAGAACGCUGGGGGAAUAAGGAGAGGGCAAGUCUGGUGUCAGCCGCCGCGGUAAUACCAGCUCUCCGAGUGGUGUGGAUGUUUAUUGGGCCUAAAGCAUCCGUAGCUGGCUAGGUUAGUCCCCUGUUAAAUCCACCGAAUUAAUCGUUGGAUUGCGGGGGAUACUGCUUGGCUAGGGGACGAGAGAGGCAGACGGUAUUUCCGGGGUAGGGGUGAAAUCCUAUAAUCCCGGGAAGACCACCAGUGGCGAAGGCUGUCUGCUAGAACGCGCCCGACGGUGAGGGAUGAAAGCUGGGGGAGCGAACCGGAUUAGAUACCCGGGUAGUCCCAGCUGUAAACGAUGCAGACUAGGUGUUUGGACGGCCACGUGCCGUUCUAGUGCCGCAGGGAAGCUGUUAAGUCUGCCGCCUGGGGAGUACGAUCGCAAGAUUGAAACUUAAAGGAAU